Molecule: long non-coding RNA, 449 nt
Filed under: Mus spicilegus (steppe mouse)
Lineage: Eukaryota; Metazoa; Chordata; Mammalia; Rodentia; Muridae
Description: lncRNA (ENSMSIG00000012482.1)
Source: RNAcentral
AUUGUAAAUAAGCAAUAGUCAUAGAAUAUAGUCAUCAGUGUUGGAUCUCAUGUUUAACCAGGAGUGAUGGUGAUCAUCUGAAAUUCAAGCUGUACCUGAGGUUGAUGGAGGAUAGCAAAGUUGGGGCCAGUUUGGACAACUUGAAAAUCAAAGCAUACCUACAGUAACCACGUGGCUCCAUUGGCUGAAAUGAACUCUAUUGUUGUGUGGCUCAGAGACAGGAAAGAAAGGCAAUGGCAGUGCUUCUCUAAGAGAAAGUUCUCGGAGACAGGUCCCAAAGACCUGCUGGCACAACAGAAAGGAACAUUUCAAGAAUCAAUCAUCAAAGGACUCCAAAAAUGGAAGGAUGAAGUUGUCAGUUCAGGGAAAUCAAGACAACAGCACUGUGAGUUCCUCAGAAUUUCUUUUUAUCUGAUGUGUAUUCAUUCCGGCCUAGGUUAUAGAAAUUC